This 115-nucleotide non-coding RNA is filed under the name Pseudomonas sp. RNAcentral describes it as "SAH sequence". It matches the Rfam family "SAH (S-adenosyl-L-homocysteine) riboswitch aptamer". The record is from RNAcentral. Lineage: Bacteria; Pseudomonadati; Pseudomonadota; Gammaproteobacteria; Pseudomonadales; Pseudomonadaceae.
CUGUCCGAGGGGCGCUGCAGCAGGUCAGACCUGUCAGGCUCGGAUGGGGCGUUGUUUGCUCAAGGCUCUUCAGCAGCCUUAGCAAGCCUUAAACGCACAACGGCGCCCAUUCGCA